RNAcentral lists this ribosomal RNA (617 nucleotides) under uncultured bacterium. RNAcentral describes it as "bacterial SSU rRNA". It matches the Rfam family "Bacterial small subunit ribosomal RNA", at positions 338 to 946 of the family's 1533-position model. The record is from RNAcentral.
CCUACGGGAGGCAGCAGUGGGGAAUUUUGGACAAUGGGCGCAAGCCUGAUCCAGCCAUGCCGCGUGAGUGAAGAAGGCCUUCGGGUUGUAAAGCUCUUUCGGCAGGAACGAAAUGGUUCGUGCUAAUACCACGGACUGAUGACGGUACCUGAAGAAGAAGCACCGGCUAACUACGUGCCAGCAGCCGCGGUAAUACGUAGGGUGCAGGCGUUAAUCGGAAUUACUGGGCGUAAAGCGUGCGCAGGCGGUUUCUUAAGUCAGAUGUGAAAGCCCCGGGCUUAACCUGGGAACUGCGUUUGAAACUGGGAGACUUGAGUGUGGCAGAGGGGGGUGGAAUUCCACGUGUAGCAGUGAAAUGCGUAGAUAUGUGGAGGAACACCGAUGGCGAAGGCAGCCCCCUGGGCUAACACUGACGCUCAUGCACGAAAGCGUGGGGAGCAAACAGGAUUAGAUACCCUGGUAGUCCACGCCCUAAACUAUGUCAACUGGUUGUCGGGAGAUUAACUCUCUUGGUAACGAAGCUAACGCGUGAAGUUGACCGCCUGGGGAUACGGCCGCAAGGUUAAAACCUUAAAUGAAUUGACGGCNGAGACGNGCGAGACGACGACGAGGAGAGG